UACGUAGGGACCGAGCGUUGUCCGGAAUCAUUGGGCGUAAAGAGCGUGUAGGCGGCUACUUAAGUCCUGCGUGAAAUCCUGCGGCUCAACCGCAGGCGGUCGUGGGAAACUGGGUGGCUAGAGUGCGGGAGAGGAGAGUGGAAUUCCUGGUGUAGCGGUGGAAUGCGCAGAUAUCAGGAAGAACACCCGUGGCUAAGGCGGCUCUCUAGUACGGUACUGACGCUGAGACGCGAAAGCGUGGGGAGCGAACAGG
Molecule: ribosomal RNA, 253 nt
Filed under: uncultured bacterium
Lineage: Bacteria
Description: partial 16S ribosomal RNA
Rfam family: Bacterial small subunit ribosomal RNA
Source: RNAcentral